AAAGGUUCGUUCGGGUUUUCCU
Molecule: microRNA, 22 nt
Filed under: Bos taurus (domestic cattle)
Lineage: Eukaryota; Metazoa; Chordata; Mammalia; Artiodactyla; Bovidae
Description: bta-miR-2285ak-5p
Source: miRBase by way of RNAcentral